This is a non-coding RNA of Ricinus communis (castor bean), 73 nucleotides long. The record is from Rfam. NCBI's taxonomy places the organism in Eukaryota, Viridiplantae, Streptophyta, Magnoliopsida, Malpighiales, Euphorbiaceae.
GCGGGGAUAGCUUAGUUGGGAGAGCGUCAGACUGAAGAUCUGAAGGUCGCGUGUUCAAUUCACGCUCACCGCA